This 303-nucleotide ribosomal RNA is filed under the name uncultured bacterium. Its description in RNAcentral is "partial 16S ribosomal RNA". It matches the Rfam family "Bacterial small subunit ribosomal RNA", at positions 507 to 807 of the family's 1533-position model. The record is from RNAcentral.
AGCAGCCGCCGCGGUAAAACGGAGGGGGCUAGCGUUGUUCGGAAUUACUGGGCGUAAAGCGCACGUAGGCGGCUUGGUAAGUUAGAGGUGAAAGCCCGGAGCUCAACUCCGGAAUUGCCUUUAAGACUGCCGAGCUAGUAGGUGAGAGAGGUAAGUGGAAUUCCGAGUGUAGAGGUGAAAUUCGUAGAUAUUCGGAAGAACACCAGUGGCGAAGGCGGCUUACUGGCUCAUUCUAGACGCUGAGGUGCGAAAGCGUGGGGAGCAAACAGGAUUAGAUACCCGCGUAGUCCCUGUCUCUUAUAC